This is a long non-coding RNA of Lemur catta (Ring-tailed lemur), 231 nucleotides long. RefSeq lists it as uncharacterized. The transcript has 3 exons. NCBI's taxonomy places the organism in Eukaryota, Metazoa, Chordata, Mammalia, Primates, Lemuridae. The record is from RefSeq and is a predicted model, not a curated record.
UGUGAAGUGAUGGAAACUCGACUCACACUAGCUGGGGACAGAGACAGCUCCUGGGCCUCACACCUCUUAGUUUUGCCACCGGAAAGGAAAUGAGUCUUUUUUCAUGGCUCUAUUUGGAAUCAGGUUGCCAAUCAAGUGGAGAAGUGCAUGGAGUAUGUGGACAGGUUAAGCCCGGGAACGAACUAACUGGUGCACAAGAAAGUCUGAGAAUGUGUAACAGUGCAGUUAAGG